GAUGAACGCUAGCGGCAGGCUUAACACAUGCAAGUCGAGGGGCAGCAGGGGUAGCAAUACUCGCUGGCGACCGGCAAACGGGUGCGGAACACGUACGCUAACAUACCUUUUACCUGGGGCAGUAGCCUUCUGAAAAGAAGAGUUAACACCCAUAAUAUCAAAUGACUGGCAUCAGUCGAUGAUUAAAAUUUAUUGGUAAGAGAUUGGCGUGCGUCCUAUUAGCUAGUGGUAUGGGUAAUGGCCUACCAAGGCGACGAUAGGUAGCUGGUGUGAGAGCACGACCAGCCACACGGGCACGUGAGACACGGGCCCGACGUCCUACGGGAGGCAGCAGUGAGGAAUAUUGGACAAU
This 352-nucleotide ribosomal RNA is filed under the name uncultured bacterium. RNAcentral's name for it is "bacterial SSU rRNA". It matches the Rfam family "Bacterial small subunit ribosomal RNA", at positions 28 to 372 of the family's 1533-position model. The record is from RNAcentral.